UACAUUAUCCAGGAAAAUGUUACUCCAGACAUUGGCGAAGCACUUGAUUCACUUAUGAAGCCUCAUCUUAAAGCAGUGCUGCCGGGAGGUGAUGUUCUUGGCGGAUAGACAAAGAAACAUAAUACAGUUGUGGAACUCAAGCUUCCAACAUGGAGGAAUCUGAAAAAUGAAAACUGACAAAAUGAAUCCUUUUCAGUCUUCUGAUUUUCUGAAAUGCUUUUUUAUCAUCUUUUUAUAGAGAUUUACAUAUUGUU
Long non-coding RNA from Bufo bufo (common toad), 254 nucleotides. RefSeq lists it as uncharacterized. The record is from RefSeq and is a predicted model, not a curated record. The transcript is spliced from 3 exons. Lineage: Eukaryota; Metazoa; Chordata; Amphibia; Anura; Bufonidae.